GUGCUGGCUUCGGCAGCACAUAUACUGAAAUUGGAACGACACAGAGUAGAUUAGCAUGGCCCCUACGCAAGGAUGACCUACAAAAUCAUGAAGUGUUCCAUGUUUUA
Molecule: small nuclear RNA, 107 nt
Filed under: Zalophus californianus (California sea lion)
Lineage: Eukaryota; Metazoa; Chordata; Mammalia; Carnivora; Otariidae
Source: RNAcentral